This 60-nucleotide microRNA precursor is filed under the name Canis lupus familiaris (dog). RNAcentral describes it as "Cfa-Mir-592_pre stem-loop". RNAcentral also lists the same sequence under 1 other name. Lineage: Eukaryota; Metazoa; Chordata; Mammalia; Carnivora; Canidae. The record is from RNAcentral.
UUGUGUCAAUAUGCGAUGAUGUGUGUGAUGGCACAGCGUCAUCACGUGGUGACGCAACAU